Drosophila ficusphila is the source of this 253-nucleotide long non-coding RNA. RefSeq lists it as uncharacterized. NCBI's taxonomy places the organism in Eukaryota, Metazoa, Arthropoda, Insecta, Diptera, Drosophilidae. The transcript has 2 exons. The record is from RefSeq and is a predicted model, not a curated record.
AUGAAUAUCUUGCGCAUGUGCUCGUCAUCUUCACCUCCACUGAUAGGUUUCGCAGUAGACACGUUGUGGUUCCGGACUAUGCACUGUUUUGAAAAUGAAUGAGUUGCACUAUUAUCCGCGUCCAUGUUGGUCGGUGAUGCAGCAAAGAAAUAAAAUCGGACAGCGUUUAAAUGACAGUAGCCGAGUUAAAGUCGUUCGAACGUCAAAAUAAAUUGUUAAGUCAUUAAAUGCAACCUUGCAAUAGUUUUUGAAC